Molecule: ribosomal RNA, 409 nt
Filed under: Nosema bombycis
Lineage: Eukaryota; Fungi; Microsporidia; Nosematidae
Description: SSU rRNA
Rfam family: Microsporidia small subunit ribosomal RNA
Source: RNAcentral
ACCAGGUUGAUUCUGCCUGACGUAGACGCUAUACUCUAAGAUUAACCCAUGCAUGUUUAUUGAAUAUAAAGAAAAGACGAACAGCUCAGUAACUCUUAUUUGAUUUGAUGUAUUAGGACUCUAACUAUGUUAAAUUAUAGGUAACAAUAAUACAAUAAGAAUAAGAUCUAUCAGUUAGUUGUUAAGGUAAUGGCUUAACAAGACUAUGACGGAUAACGGUAUUACUUUGUAAUAUUCCGGAGAAGGAGCCUGAGAGAUUGCUACUAAGUCUAAGGAUUGCAGCAGGGGCGAAACUUGACCUAUGAUAUUAUAUUGAGGCAGUUAUGAGUAGUAUUUUAUAAUUAUUGUAGUAUUGUAAGUACAUAUUACAAGAUAAAUCGGAGGGCAAAUCGAGUGCCAGCAGCCGCGG